Molecule: long non-coding RNA, 286 nt
Filed under: Elaeis guineensis (African oil palm)
Lineage: Eukaryota; Viridiplantae; Streptophyta; Magnoliopsida; Arecales; Arecaceae
Description: long non-coding RNA (EGUI_LNC075615)
Source: RNAcentral
AUUAUAUAACAAUAGCAUAAUAUAUAUUAUUUUAUUAUUAUAUUAUAGUGUUAGAGGUCUUUUAGGAAUAAAAUUAAAAAGGUUAUUCUAUAUGGAAAAAUGACCUACCCACCUCCUAGGUAGGUAAGACUUUCCACUCCUCUAUUUUAUGGAUGAAUGCUACCCAUAGGAAAAUACACCUAGAGAAGUAUAAGAAUAUAAGAAAGUUGAUUAAUGAGAAAAUUGAUCAAUUUUUUUAUAAUAUUUAACUACUAAAACAUGGAUCCUUGGGUAUCAAGUAUCAGGC